GACGAACGCUGGCGGCGCGCCUAACACAUGCAAGUCGAACGAGCGAGAGAGAGCUUGCUUUCUCGAGCGAGUGGCGAACGGGUGAGUAACGCGUGAGGAACCUGCCUCAAAGAGGGGGACAACAGUUGGAAACGACUGCUAAUACCGCAUAAGCCCACGGGUCGGCAUCGACCAGAGGGAAAAGGAGCAAUCCGCUUUGAGAUGGCCUCGCGUCCGAUUAGCUAGUUGGUGAGGUAACGGCCCACCAAGGCAACGAUCGGUAGCCGGACUGAGAGGUUGAACGGCCACAUUGGGACUGAGACACGGCCCAGACUCCUACGGGAGGCAGCAGUGGGGAAUAUUGCACAAUGGGGGAAACCCUGAUGCAGCGACGCCGCGUGGAGGAAGAAGGUCUUCGGAUUGUAAACUCCUGUUGUUGGGGAAGAUAAUGACGGUACC
Molecule: ribosomal RNA, 438 nt
Filed under: uncultured bacterium
Lineage: Bacteria
Description: bacterial SSU rRNA
Rfam family: Bacterial small subunit ribosomal RNA
Source: RNAcentral